GGUAAAAUGGCUGGGUAAAGCAUUAGACUGUAAAUCUAAGCACAGGGGAUGAUCCCCUUUUUUCCA
Molecule: transfer RNA, 66 nt
Filed under: Loxodonta africana (African savanna elephant)
Lineage: Eukaryota; Metazoa; Chordata; Mammalia; Proboscidea; Elephantidae
Rfam family: tRNA
About the family: Transfer RNA (tRNA) molecules are approximately 80 nucleotides in length.
Source: Rfam by way of RNAcentral